GAUGAACGCUGGCGGCGUGCCUAAUACAUGCAAGUCGAGCGAACAGACGAGGAGCUUGCUCCUCUGACGUUAGCGGCGGACGGGUGAGUAACACGUGGAUAACCUACCUAUAAGACUGGGAUAACUUCGGGAAACCGGAGCUAAUACCGGAUAAUAUAUUGAACCGCAUGGUUCAAUAGUGAAAGACGGUUUUGCUGUCACUUAUAGAUGGAUCCGCGCCGCAUUAGCUAGUUGGUAAGGUAACGGCUUACCAAGGGAACGAUGCGUAGCCGACGUGAGAGGGUGAUCGGCCACACUGGAACUGGAACACGGUCCAGACUCCUACGGGAGGCAGCAGUAGGGAAUCUUCCGCAAUGGGCGAAAGCCUGACGGAGCAACGCCGCGUGAGUGAUGAAGGUCUUCGGAUCGUAAAACUCUGUUAUUAGGGAAGAACAAAUGUGUAAGUAACUAUGCACGUCUUGACGGUACCUAAUCAGAAAGCCACGGCUAACUACGUG
Molecule: ribosomal RNA, 497 nt
Filed under: uncultured bacterium
Lineage: Bacteria
Description: partial 16S ribosomal RNA
Rfam family: Bacterial small subunit ribosomal RNA
Source: RNAcentral